Molecule: ribosomal RNA, 108 nt
Organism: Otolemur garnettii (small-eared galago)
Lineage: Eukaryota; Metazoa; Chordata; Mammalia; Primates; Galagidae
Source: Ensembl
AUCUACAGCCAAAACACCUUGAAUGUGUUCAAUCUUGGAAGCUAAGCAGGAUUAGGCUUGAUUAGUAGUAGAUGGGAGACCUCCUAGAAAUACUUGGUGCUACACGCU